GACGAACGCUGGCGGCGUGCUUAACACAUGCAAGUCGAACGGAAAGGCCCUGCUUUUGUGGGGUGCUCGAGUGGCGAACGGGUGUGUAACACGUGAGUAACCCGCCCUUGCCUUUGGGAUAACUUCAGGAAACUGGGGCUAAUACCGGAUAGGAGCUCCUGCUGCAUGGGGGGGGAUGGAAAGUUUCGGCGGUUGGGGAUGGACUCGCGGCUUAUCUGCUGGUUGGUGGGGGAGUGGCUUACCAAGGCUUUGACGGGUAGCCGGCCUGGGGGGUUGACCGGCCACUUUGGGACUGGGAUAGGGCCCGGACUCCUACGGGGGGCAGCGGUGGGGAAUUUUGCCCAAUGGGCGGAGGCCGGUUGCGGGACGGCCGCGUGCGGGAUGACGGCCUUCGGUUGGUAAACCGCUUUCGCCUGGGACGAAGCGUUUGUGACGGUAAUGGGUAAAGAAGCACCGGCUAACUACGUG
Molecule: ribosomal RNA, 468 nt
Filed under: uncultured bacterium
Lineage: Bacteria
Description: partial 16S ribosomal RNA
Rfam family: Bacterial small subunit ribosomal RNA
Source: RNAcentral